RNAcentral lists this unclassified non-coding RNA (147 nucleotides) under Gorgomyces honrubiae. RNAcentral describes it as "partial internal transcribed spacer 2". Lineage: Eukaryota; Fungi; Ascomycota; Leotiomycetes; Leotiales; Leotiaceae. The record is from RNAcentral.
CAACCCUCAAGCUCAGCUUGGUAUUAAGCCUCACCCGUCAGGGCGGGCUGUAAAAUCAGUGGCGGUGCCAUUCGGCUUCAAGCGUAGUAAUUCUUCUCGCUUUGGAGGACCGGGUGCGUGCCUGCCAGCAACCCCAAUUUUAUCAAA